This 495-nucleotide ribosomal RNA is filed under the name uncultured bacterium. RNAcentral describes it as "partial 16S ribosomal RNA". It matches the Rfam family "Bacterial small subunit ribosomal RNA", at positions 28 to 507 of the family's 1533-position model. The record is from RNAcentral.
GACGAACGCUGGCGGCGUGCCUAAUACAUGCAAGUAGAACGCUGAAGGAGGAGCUUGCUUCUCCGGAUGAGUUGCGAACGGGUGAGUAACGCGUAGGUAACCUGCCUGGUAGCGGGGGAUAACUAUUGGAAACGAUAGCUAAUACCGCAUAAGAGUAGAUGUUGCAUGACAUUUGCUUAAAAGGUGCAAUUGCAUCACUACCAGAUGGACCUGCGUUGUAUUAGCUAGUUGGUGGGGUAACGGCUUACCAAGGCGACGAUACAUAGCCGACCUGAGAGGGGGAUCGGCCAAACUGGGAAUGAGACCAGGCCCAGACUCCUAAGGGAGGCAGCAGUAGGGAAUCUUCGGCAAUGGAAGGAAGUCUGACCGAGCAACGCCGCGUGAGUGAAGAAGGUUUUCGGAUCGUAAAGCUCUGUUGUAAGAGAAGAACAAGUGUGAGAGUGGAAAGUUCACACUGUGACGGUAUCUUACCAGAAAGGGACGGCUAACUACGUG